Nerophis lumbriciformis (worm pipefish) is the source of this 395-nucleotide long non-coding RNA. RefSeq lists it as uncharacterized. NCBI's taxonomy places the organism in Eukaryota, Metazoa, Chordata, Actinopteri, Syngnathiformes, Syngnathidae. The record is from RefSeq and is a predicted model, not a curated record.
GAUUAGCCAGAGGGAAGAACAGCGAGAAGAUGGCACUCACUGUGCAAGUGUGUGUGCGAGAAAGCCAUCCUCCUUAUGUCAAAUAUAUGAACGUGGAAAUUUCCCUGGCUGCUCUGAAACGGCUUUUACUUUGUUGUUUAUUCUUGUUAUUGUUAGGUUUCUUUCUUACUUCUUUCUUAACCGUUAAAUGUGUACUACACUUACAGGAUCUGAAGAACAGACUAUUCCUCCCAGGUAACAACAGAGACCAACUAGCGUGAUCAAUCAGGAGCAUGGCGGCUCAAAUAAGCCACUUUCAUUUCCUGAGAAAAGGUGUGGCAAGCUGUGAUGAGGCUCGACUGUGUUUUCCAUUCAGAGACUUGGACCUGCUUGAAUACAAAUUGUAAACCUUUCAA